CCUACGGGCGGCAGCAGUGGGGAAUAUUGGACAAUGGGGGCAACCCUGAUCCAGCCAUGCCGCGUGUAUGAAGAAGGCCCUCGGGUUGUAAAGCACUUUCAGUGAGGAAGAACGCCUGAUGGUUAAUACCCAUCAGGAAAGACAUCACUCACAGAAGAAGCACCGGCUAACUCCGUGCCAGCAGCCGCGGUAAUACGGAGGGUGCGAGCGUUAAUCGGAAUUACUGGGCGUAAAGCGCGCGUAGGUGGCUUGAUAAGCCGGUUGUGAAAGCCCCGGGCUCAACCUGGGAACGGCAUCCGGAACUGUCAAGCUAGAGUGCAGGAGAGGAAGGUAGAAUUCCCGGUGUAGCGGUGAAAUGCGUAGAGAUCGGGAGGAAUACCAGUGGCGAAGGCGGCCUUCUGGACUGACACUGACACUGAGGUGCGAAAGCGUGGGUAGCAAACAGGAUUAGAUACCCUAGUAGUC
This 465-nucleotide ribosomal RNA is filed under the name Vreelandella stevensii. RNAcentral's name for it is "partial 16S ribosomal RNA". It matches the Rfam family "Bacterial small subunit ribosomal RNA", at positions 338 to 795 of the family's 1533-position model. Lineage: Bacteria; Pseudomonadati; Pseudomonadota; Gammaproteobacteria; Oceanospirillales; Halomonadaceae. The record is from RNAcentral.